CUAAAACGACUCUCGGCAACGGAUAUCUCGGCUCUCGCAUCGAUGAAGAACGUAGCGAAAUGCGAUACUUGGUGUGAAUUGCAGAAUCCCGUGAACCAUCGAGUCUUUGAACGCAAGUUGCGCCCCAAGCCUUCUGGCCGAGGGCACGUCUGCCUGGGUGUCACA
This 165-nucleotide ribosomal RNA is filed under the name Sisymbrium altissimum. Its description in RNAcentral is "5.8S ribosomal RNA". It matches the Rfam family "5.8S ribosomal RNA". Rfam says of the family: 5.8S ribosomal RNA (5.8S rRNA) is a component of the large subunit of the eukaryotic ribosome. It is transcribed by RNA polymerase I as part of the 45S precursor that also contains 18S and 28S rRNA. Functionally, it is thought that 5.8S rRNA may be involved in ribosome translocation. The record is from RNAcentral. Lineage: Eukaryota; Viridiplantae; Streptophyta; Magnoliopsida; Brassicales; Brassicaceae. RNAcentral also lists the same sequence under 42 other names.